This 824-nucleotide ribosomal RNA is filed under the name Bacillus licheniformis. RNAcentral describes it as "bacterial SSU rRNA". It matches the Rfam family "Bacterial small subunit ribosomal RNA", at positions 60 to 865 of the family's 1533-position model. The record is from RNAcentral. Lineage: Bacteria; Bacillati; Bacillota; Bacilli; Caryophanales; Bacillaceae.
AGUCGAGCGGACCGACGGGAGCUUGCUCCCUUAGGUCAGCGGCGGACGGGUGAGUAACACGUGGGUAACCUGCCUGUAAGACUGGGAUAACUCCGGGAAACCGGGGCUAAUACCGGAUGCUUGAUUGAACCGCAUGGUUCAAUCAUAAAAGGUGGCUUUUAGCUACCACUUUCAGAUGGACCCGCGGCGCAUUAGCUAGUUGGUGAGGUAACGGCUCACCAAGGCGACGAUGCGUAGCCGACCUGAAAGGGUGAUCGGCCACACUGGGACUGAGACACGGCCCAGACUCCUACGGGAGGCAGCAGUAGGGAAUCUUCCGCAAUGGACGAAAGUCUGACGGAACAACGCCGCGUGAGUGAUGAAGGUUUUCGGAUCGUAAAACUCUGUUGUUAGGGAAGAACAAGUGCCGUUCGAAUAGGGCGGUACCUUGACGGUACCUAACCAGAAAGCCACGGCUAACUACGUGCCAACAGCCGCGGUAAUACCUAGGUGGCAAGCGUUGUCCGGAAUUAUUGGGCGUAAAGCGCGCGCAGGCGGUUUCUUAAGUCUGAUGUGAAAGCCCCCGGCUCAACCGGGGAGGGUCAUUGGAAACUGGGGAACUUGAGUGCAGAAGAGGAGAGUGGAAUUCCACGUGUAGCGGUGAAAUGCGUAGAGAUGUGGAGGAACACCAGUGGCGAAUGCGACUCUCUGGUCUGUAACUGACGCUGAGCGCGAAAGCGUGGGGAGCGAACAGGAUUAGAUACCCUGGUAGUCCACGCCGUAAACGAUGAGUGCUAAGUGAUAGAGGGUUUCCGCCCUUUAGUGCUGCAGCAAACGCAUUAAGC